This 502-nucleotide ribosomal RNA is filed under the name uncultured bacterium. RNAcentral's name for it is "partial 16S ribosomal RNA". It matches the Rfam family "Bacterial small subunit ribosomal RNA", at positions 28 to 507 of the family's 1533-position model. The record is from RNAcentral.
GACGAACGCUGGCGGCGUGCUUAACACAUGCAAGUCGAACGGUGAAGGGGUCUGCUUUUGUGGGCCCUGGAUGAGUGGCGAACGGGUGAGUAACACGUGAGUAACCUGCCCCCUUCUUCUGGAUAACCGCAUGAAAGUGUGGCUAAUACGGGAUAUUCUGGGUCUGUCGCAUGAUGGGUCUGGGAAAGAUUGCGCCUUUGGGUGUUUUUGGUGGGGGAUGGGCUCGCGGCCUAUCAGCUUGUUGGUGGGGUGAUGGCCUACCAAGGCGGUGACGGGUAGCCGGCCUGGGAGGGUGGACGGUCACACUGGGACUGAGACACGGCCCAGACGCCUACGGGAGGCAGCAGUGGGGAAUAUUGCACAAUGGGCGCAAGCCUGAUGCAGCGACGCCGCGUGAGGGAUGGAGGCCUUCGGGGUGUAAACCUCUUUCGCCAGUGAAGCAGGCCUGCUCCUUGUGGGUGGGUUGACGGUAGCUGGAUAAGAAGCGCCGGCUAACUACGUG